AAUAGAUACCCUGGUAGUCCACGCCGUAAACGAUGUCGACUUGGAGGUUGUUCCCUUGAGGAGUGGCUUCCGGAGCUAACGCGUUAAGUCGACCGCCUGGGGAGUACGGCCGCAAGGUUAAAACUCAAAUGAAUUGACGGGGGCCCGCACAAGCGGUGGAGCAUGUGGUUUAAUUCGAUGCAACGCGAAGAACCUUACCUACUCUUGACAUCCACGGAACUUUUCAGAGAUGAAUUGGUGCCUUCGGGAACCGUGAGACAGGUGCUGCAUGGCUGUCGUCAGCUCGUGUUGUGAAAUGUUGGGUUAAGUCCCGCAACGAGCGCAACCCUUAUCCUUUGUUGCCAGCGGUCCGGCCGGGAACUCAAAGGAGACUGCCAGUGAUAAACUGGAGGAAGUGGGGAUGACGUCAAGUCAUCAUGGCCCUUACGAGUAGGGCUACACACGUGCUACAAUGGCGCAUACAAAGAGAAGCGACCUCGCGAGAGCAAGCGGACCUCAUAAAGUGCGUCGUAGUCCGGAUUGGAGU
Molecule: ribosomal RNA, 526 nt
Filed under: uncultured bacterium
Lineage: Bacteria
Description: bacterial SSU rRNA
Rfam family: Bacterial small subunit ribosomal RNA
Source: RNAcentral